CCCUUAGAUGUUCUGGGCCGCACGCGCGCUACACUGACGAUGGCAACGAGUUUUUCCUUCGCCGAAAGGUGUGGGUAAUCUUUUGAAACAUCGUCGUGCUGGGGAUAGAUCAUUGCAAUUUUUGAUCUUGAACGAGGAAUUCCUAGUAAGCGCGAGUCAUCAGCUCGCGUUGAUUACGUCCCUGCCCGUUGUACACACCGCCCGUCGCUACUACCGAUUGAAUGGUUUAGUGAGGACUCCUGAUUGGCGCCGCCGCCCCGGCAACGGAGCAGCGGACUGCCGAAAAGUUGUUCAAACUUGAUCAUUUAGAGGAAGUAAAAGUCGUAACA
This 329-nucleotide ribosomal RNA is filed under the name uncultured eukaryote. RNAcentral's name for it is "partial 18S ribosomal RNA". It matches the Rfam family "Eukaryotic small subunit ribosomal RNA", at positions 1470 to 1796 of the family's 1831-position model. The record is from RNAcentral.